Molecule: ribosomal RNA, 359 nt
Filed under: uncultured bacterium
Lineage: Bacteria
Description: bacterial SSU rRNA
Rfam family: Bacterial small subunit ribosomal RNA
Source: RNAcentral
AAGGUAGUGUAGUUAAUAGCUGCAUAUUUGACGUUAGCGACAGAAGAAGCACCGGCUAACUCCGUGCCAGCAGCCGCGGUAAUACGGAGGGUGCGAGCGUUAAUCGGAAUUACUGGGCGUAAAGCGCAUGCAGGUGGUUUGUUAAGUUCAGAUGUGAAAGACCCGGGGCGUCAACCUCGGAAUAGCAUUUGAAACUAGGCAGACUAGAGUACUGUAGAGGGGGGUAGGAAGUUUCAGGUGUAGCGGUGAAAUAGCGUAGAGAUCUGAAGGAAUACCGGUGGCGAAGGCGGCCCCCUGGACAGAUACUGACACUCAGAUGCGAAAGCGUGGGGAGCAAACAGGAUUAGAUACCCUGGUAG